Arabidopsis thaliana (thale cress) is the source of this 443-nucleotide long non-coding RNA. RefSeq annotates it as other RNA. The record is from RefSeq. Lineage: Eukaryota; Viridiplantae; Streptophyta; Magnoliopsida; Brassicales; Brassicaceae. The transcript has a single exon.
UCAUUAACCUUUGUUUCGCCCCAUAUAUAUACACGAUAUCCUUUGCUUGAAUUAGCGAAUAUGAAAUGGUUAAGUCAAGCCAUCCAAGCAAGAAACUGAAAUAGUCAAUUUGAUACGCUUAAAUGAAGAUGAUUAAUAAAACAGGUUUGAGUCUUUCUAUAUAAUAGAUUGUUAGAAUGUGUUGUUGCGCCUCUUUUGUUUAGUACUUUAGUAGCUUCAACUAAUACCGUGUCAUAACUCAUAAUUAUGCAUAUGUAAGAUCUUUUGUCUUUUAUCAUCUCGUCGAUAUAAGAUAAUAAGAGCGAUUAAAUCAACCCUAUAUAAUAAUAACAAUAUAAGUUUUCUAUUUCGUUUCGUUUAAUGAAAAUAUGAAUAAAAUUGGGAUAAGUUUGUAUCGCCUUUUUUUCUUUUUCACAAUAAGUUUGUAUCCCCUAAUUUAAUCA